UACGUAGGUGGCGAGCGUUGUCCGGAUUUACUGGGCGUAAAGGGAGCGUAGGCGGACUUUUAAGUGAGAUGUGAAAUACCCGGGCUUAACUUGGGUGCUGCAUUUCAAACUGGAAGUCUAGAGUGCAGGAGAGGAGAAUGGAAUUCCUAGUGUAGCGGUGAAAUGCGUAGAGAUUAGGAAGAACACCAGUGGCGAAGGCGAUUCUCUGGACUGUAACUGACGCUGAGGCGCGAAAGCGUGGGUAGCAAACAGGAUUAGAUACCCCGGUAGU
Molecule: ribosomal RNA, 271 nt
Filed under: uncultured prokaryote
Description: partial 16S ribosomal RNA
Rfam family: Bacterial small subunit ribosomal RNA
Source: RNAcentral